Molecule: non-coding RNA, 59 nt
Organism: Capra hircus (goat)
Lineage: Eukaryota; Metazoa; Chordata; Mammalia; Artiodactyla; Bovidae
Source: Ensembl
CAAUGUGCAGUCUGAGUCCUGGGAACCAGGUGUUGGGGUAUGUUCUGAAAAUGAAUUGA